Molecule: non-coding RNA, 170 nt
Filed under: uncultured Butyricimonas sp.
Lineage: Bacteria; Pseudomonadati; Bacteroidota; Bacteroidia; Bacteroidales; Odoribacteraceae
Source: RNAcentral
GCGUCUUGGUGCUUCCACGUUGGAAGAAAAGGGAAUCCGGUGAAAUUCCGGGGCUGUCCCCGCAGCUGUAAAGUCGUUUCCUGCCCGUGAGGGUGGAUCUUUUCGUUAAACCACUGGGUAAUUCCGGGAAGGUGAAAAGAUGACAAGCCAGAAAACCUGCCAGAUGAUGC